GUGUUAAAAAAGACAUUUAUUUCUGGAAUACUGAGACGAUAAUAGCUGUACUGUACUUUUUACUGCAGUAUUCACUGGAUGAAUAUUAGGAGGAAAAGAGUCAUUGAGAUGAAGGAGGAGAGGGUCCAUGACUUGGGCAUUGGAGUAGGAUUUGGGGUGAGACAGUGUAACCUGAGGGCAGAUCCACCAAAUGCAUCAGCAGCAGGGCCCGCGGCCACGGCAGCAGGACCAUCUCCUGGGGAAGGUGCAAACGCAUCUAGGGUAUUGCAGACGAAAAACAGCCGGAACGCGAACACAAAACAAAAGCAGGCAGGCCGCGUCUGCAUCCUACCCUCCACCUACACUGACCUCCGAAAAGGUCGAUGUCUGCGGCUGAGGUGGUGGAGGCAGGAGCAGAGAUGGGCAGCGAGGUGGGCGCCUGCGCAGCCGCAGCAGUGGUGGAACGAGCAGGGGCUAUGGGCGGGGCAGCCACGGGGGCAGCAGCAGCCGCAGCAUUGGCAUCAGCAGGCUCUUUCUUUGCCAGGAGAGAUUCAGAGGCUCCGUCGGUAGCGGCCGGAGUCGCUACGCAGAUAAACCCCGCAAUCCGAACGCCACGACCCAGUCACAACCCCCAAAAGAGAGGAAGAAACAGCAGGAGAGAAAAUAGGGAAGAAGGAGCGAGACGGCAGCGUCAAAGUGAGUGAAAAGUUUAAAAAAAAAGAAAAUUCAGAACUGCAGGUUGAGAGACAAGUUGAACAGUGGAUGCCUGCAGGCGACGCUGUCAACAGAGUACUUACCCAAGAGAUCUUCGAGACAGCACAAACAAAAACAAAGAGAGAGAGAGGUCAGAGACAGUGAAUGACUGAGUUAAAAAAGAGAUAUACUUUUAAAUUAUGCAGAUGCUCCAAGUAAUGAUUUUUUUGGUUAAUUUGAGAGCUUCCAACCUUUUACAGGAAAAGCCAGAAAAGCAGAGAUGGGACAAAAGCAAAUCCAAUUGAGUGAAAG
This is a long non-coding RNA of Oreochromis aureus, 984 nucleotides long. The record is from Ensembl. NCBI's taxonomy places the organism in Eukaryota, Metazoa, Chordata, Actinopteri, Cichliformes, Cichlidae.